UUCAUUCUCCCAAAUUGUAGCCUCCCUCCCACGGUCCCACCUCACCUCCGAUCUACCGCCCGUCCCACCUGCGUCCACCUUCGAUCCAUCGCAGCCGCUCCACUUCUGUCCCACCCUUUUUGACCGACAACCCCAAUUGCAGCCACCACCACCGCUCGCAACCACUACAACCACUCGCAUCCACCACCGUCGUUCGUCACCACCACCAUGCAUUUCAACAUCUUGAAGUCGACCCAUUUGUACAAAUCCAACCUCCGGGAUAUGUAGUGCAACCUCAAG
RNAcentral lists this long non-coding RNA (279 nucleotides) under Helianthus annuus (common sunflower). RNAcentral describes it as "sRNA HanXRQr2_Chr10g0440101". Lineage: Eukaryota; Viridiplantae; Streptophyta; Magnoliopsida; Asterales; Asteraceae. The record is from RNAcentral.